ACAUGAGAUUUUAAUUUGGUAUCAAAAACAUGUCCAUCAGAGAGUUGUUAAAUUUAUGCAUGUUUCAGAGGUAUAAAUUAAAUCACCCAAUGUAGUUACGUCAUGAUCCCAUUAGUUUGAAGGGUAACCUUGAAUGUUGGUUGCCCAUAGUUUGAUGAAGGUAAAAUACACAUAUUCCCAUUAGUAUAAAUAGUUGACAUUCAAUUGUAGUCUCAACAACGAGUGUGGGAGUUAAACAAUAAUAGCAAAAAUUACAACUAACUUUUGUGUUUUAGAAGAAAGUUUUGAUGUUAUUUUGAGUGUUUAUUGUUAUAGCUUCUUAAUUUUCUCAAGGCAAUAACUUUAUUUGCCAACAUUUGGUAUCAGAGCCAAAUUGAUGAUUCCUACAAGUUAUAUUUCUGAUGUAUUAUGUGUACCUGGUAUAUGUCAGAAUCUUUUAAGUGAGGGAUAACUUCUUGAGAAAGGAAUCGUCUAUUUCUAAUGAACAUCAAGUAUGAUGUUGAUAUAUGUUACAAACAUGUAGUUGUUGAUGAUAAUUGGCUUUGGCAUACACGUCUUGGACAUUAUAACUUUUAAAGCAUUGAGUUUCUUGCAAAUAAGAAAUGGGUUAGUGGCUUGCUGGUUAUCUAAUUUCUUGAUCAACUGUGUGAAGCUUGUGUAGUAGGCAAGAAGCAUUGAGAUCCUUUUCCUAAAGGGAAUGCAUGGAGAGGUACAAAAUAACAUAAGUUGGUGGAUUCUGAUUUAUGCUAUGUGGAAGUUUCAUACAAUGGAGGUAAUUAAAAUUUUACUACUUUCAUUGAUGACUUUAGUAGGAAGAUAUGAGUUUAUGUUUUGAAAACUAAUUCGGAUGCUUGUGAUAUGCUCAAAAGAUUUAUAGCGUGUCUUUAAAGGAGAAGUGGUUAUACUCUGACAAACCUUAAAAGUUAAUAGGGGAAAAGUAUAUUUUUUAUGAUGCUUUCUUGAUAAAUAAAGGAAUUAAACAUCAAAUGAAUGCUAGAUACACCCCCUCAACAAAAUGGAGUAGCAAAAAGAAAGAAUAGAACUAUCAUGGAUAUUGUGAGAAGCAUAUUGCAUUGCAAAAAUUUACCCAAUAGUUUUUGGCCCAAAGUAGUGGCUUGUGUAAUAUACUUAAUAAAUAAAUUUCCUAUCAAAAGCGUACGUGAUAAAACUCCACAAGAAACUUGGAGUAGGAAAAAGCUAAAUCUCAGUAACUAGAAAUUUUUGGUUGUAUUUCUUAUGCACAUAUUCCAGAUCAACUAAGGAAAAAGCUUGACAACAAUGCAAUAAAUUGUAUCUUUUUAGGAUAUAGUGAAGAAACAAAAGCAUACAAGUUUUACAAUCCAGAAACAUAAAAGGUAGUCAUUAAUGAAGAUGUUACCUUCGAUGAAGAUGGAGCGUGGAACUGGUCAAAAAAGAAAAUGAGUUUGUGCUUGUAGCAGUUAUAAAUGAUGAAAUAGAUGAUAAAAAUAAUGAACCUUCAAAUUAACCAACACCUGUCUCACACCUCAUAGAUAUCCAGAAAGGGAGCUUCUUCCACCAUUUUACUCGCAGGAAUAUGAAGUUGGACGAUAUGACGAUUCUGAUGAUAAGGAGGAAGAAAUUACUUAUUGUGUCUUAUUUGCUGAUUGCGAUCCUGUGACGUAUGAUGAAACAACUAAUAAAGAUUGUUCUAUUAAAACAAUUAAUGAAGAAAUUCAUGCAAUUGAGAAGAAUAACAUGUGGGAGUUAAUAACACUUCUAGAAGGAAAGAAGACGAUCAAAGUCAAGUGUGUAAUCCAAAAGAAAAGGUAAAUCGCUUCAAAGCAUGAAUAGUAGCAAAAUGGUACAAACAAAAAACCGACAUUGGCUAUUUUGAAGUUUUUGCCGAAGUUUCUAGAAUGGACACAAUAUGGAUGAUUCUUUCCCUCGUCGCCUAAACUCAUUGGAAGAUAUUUCAAAUGGACGUGAGAUCUACUUUCUUGAAUGGUGUACUUGAAUAAGAAGUUUAUGUAGAUCAACCACUGGGUUAUUUACAACAAGGAGAUGGAGAUAAGGUGUACAAGUUGAAGAGAUGAAGAUAAGGUAUACAAGUUGAAGAAAGCAUUAUAUUGUUUGAAGCAAGCAUCUAAAGCUUGGUCCACAUGUAUUUGAAGGUAGAAAAAACAAGAAAGGGGGUUUGAAUUAUUUUCACUGACAAUAAUUUUUUUAGCAACACUACACACCGAAACAUAAUAACUAACAACACAGAAGUUUAUCCUAGCUCGCUUGAAAAUCAAAGUUACUCUAGUCCACCAGGCCAAGGUGAUUUCGCCUUCAAUAAGGACUUAAUCCAAUAAUCUAGAAAAAUUACAACAAAUGUCUAAGAGUUUAACAAUCUCUUAGCCCUCUCAAGUCUAUAGACUUCACAGGUCACUUGAGAAAUUACAACAACUAUUUAGAAUUACAAGAAUGUGUUUGAUGCUUCUAGAUAAGCAAGAUGAACACGAUUAAUAACAAAUGAUCAACGAUCACACUAAGAGCAACAACUCGUGUGUGAUAACUGAAUUAGAGAAUAACAAAAAUUUAAUGUAUGAUUUCAAAAUGUGUGAGUAGAAUUCUUGAGUGAGAGCUUCGUGUCACCGUAUGAUGAUAGUGAGGUCUAUAUAUAGUGCUUGAAGAUGAUACUGUUGGAGAGAGCAUUGAUGCUGAUAUCUUGCCAAUUAUGGGACUUAAUGACAUUAAUUUUCUCGUCCUUUCCGUAGCAGUCUUGGAGUGUAGUCAAUACUAUCCAUAUAUAUAUCCAUACCAUACUUAGAUUUCUUUUAUGUUAAGCUUCUAAUUUUGAUUAAUCAGAUGAUCUGUUGGGCGUGAAUCAGAGUGAGCAAAGUUCAGAGCCUUUAGGUGGCGCUUGUAUUCUUCAGAUAGUUGGUUUGUUGAUUGGUCUUCAGAGUCAGCUUGAUUGAUCUUCAGAUAGAAUGUCUUCUGAUGUACGGAUCUUCAGAGCUCAUAUGUAGGAUCUUCAGAUGUGGAGUUUCCAGAGUCUUCAGAUAAACUUUAAUGACAAAUUUUGUUCGUGAUUCCUUUGGACAUGCUUGUGGUCAGCGUCAAAUAUGAUUUAUGAUUCCUUUGGACAUGCUUGGUGUUCCAUCAGAUUUAGUUUACCUUAGAGUCCUGCACAUUUAGAGAAUUUAUUAGGGUACCAAAUGGUUUCAUUCUUUGUUAUCAUCAAAACUCAAGAGAUAUAUUGCAGAACCAAAAUCUUGUUCUAACAGUAUUGACCAACAAUGGAUUUCACAUAAGUCCAUAUGAGCAUGCUUUAUAUGUCAAAGUAAACAAGGAUGUAUAUAUUAUUAUUGUUUUAUUAUACGUGGAUGAUCUAAUCUUCACUGGAAACAAUCCCAAAUUGUUAUAAAAAUUUAAAGAGAGCAUGUCUACACAGUUUGAGAUGACAAAUAUGGGUCUAAAGUUUUAUUUUCUAGGCAUUUAAGUGAAACGUGAAAAUGAGGAGAUUUUUAUUUCACAUAAGAAAUGUGUAUCUAAUAUUAUGAAGAAAUUUAAGAUGGAAUCAUGCAAACCAAUGCUGACUCCAAUGAAAGAAAUGUUGAAACUAGAAAGAGAAAGUGGUGGUGAUACUGUAAAUUCAACAAAUUUCAAAAGGCUAGUUGGAGGCCUUAGGUACUUGACAACAACAAAAUUUGGUAUAGUUUAUGGAGUUGGACUUAUAAGAAGAUUCAUGGACUCACCGAGACAAUCACAUUGGCAAGCUACAAAGAGAGUUUUGAGGUAUAUAAAAGGAUCAAUUGAUGAAAGAAUCUUUUACACAAGUUCUAGCAAGCCAUAGUUGAUUGGAUACAUAGACAAUGAUUUGGCAAGUGAAACUAAAACUCGAAAAAAUACUUCGAGUUUUGCUUUUCAUCUUUAAAUAGGCGUGUUUUCUUAAGAAACAACAAGUACUAGAUAUGUCAAUAGUAGAGGUAGAGUACAUAGUAGCAACAAAUUGUGUAACUCAAGUAGUUUGAUUGGAGGGUUAUUAAGUGAAUUACAACAUCAACAAGAUGAUCUAACGAAUGUAUUUUGCAACGAAAAAGUAAUAAUUGCUCUAACAAAGAAUUGUCUGUUUCAUGGUCACAACAAACAUAUUGACAUCAAACACCAUUACGUAUGUGGCUUAAUCAAAGAUAAAGAAAUUGUGGUGGAGUAUUGCACUUCAAAAAAUCAAAUUGCCGAUAUUUUUAUAAAGCCACUCAAAAUCAAUUCUUUCUUGAAGAUGAAGAAUAUGUUAGAAAUGAUGAAAUCAAGUUUAAGGAAGGAUGUUAGAUGAAAUAAACUUGAAAUUCUAAUUUGGUAGAGAAACUAUGUCCAUCUGAGAGCUAUUAACCUUAUGCAUGCUUAAAGCUAUAAAUUAAAUCACCCCAUCUAAUUACAUCAUGUGCUAGUUUAAAAGAUAGCCA
Molecule: long non-coding RNA, 4409 nt
Filed under: Lathyrus oleraceus (garden pea)
Lineage: Eukaryota; Viridiplantae; Streptophyta; Magnoliopsida; Fabales; Fabaceae
Description: Pisum sativum (pea) long non-coding RNA (PSAT_LNC034271)
Source: RNAcentral